This 1261-nucleotide long non-coding RNA is filed under the name Homo sapiens (human). RNAcentral's name for it is "non-protein coding LINC00567:4". Lineage: Eukaryota; Metazoa; Chordata; Mammalia; Primates; Hominidae. The record is from RNAcentral.
AUCGUGAGGGGGACUUCCUGAAGGAGGUGCAUCGUGACGGGGGCGUCGUGACGGGGAUGUCGUGAGGAGGGCGCGUGGUAACGGGGGCAUCGUGAGGGGAGCGCGUCGUGUGGAGGGCGUCGUGACGGGGACGUCGUGAGGAGGGCACGUCGUGAGGAAGGCGUCGUGAGGGGGAGGUCGUGAGGGGGACGUGACGAAGGGGGCGCGUCGUGACGGGGGCGUCGUGAGGGGGAUGUCGUGAGGAGGGCGCGUGGUAACGGGGGCAUCGUGAGGGGAGCGCGUCGUGUGGAGGGCGUCGUGACGGGGACGUCGUGAGGGGCGCGCUGUGAGGACUAAAUUAACAAGCUGAAGCCAGCUUACCUUGGAUGUGGAUCAUUCUGGCAGUGUUCAACUUUGAGACAAGGAAGUGUGUGACAUUAUUGUCAGCGGAGAGAGGCCCCAGGCAGAAGGUCACUUCCUGAGGUGUCUGGGGAGCACUGCGGCAAGAGACCCCCAUUUCCCAGCAAAUGCUUCCUUACUCAAUCUUUCGGCUACCUGGACUUUACUACCACAUCUACAGAGCCAUCAUUGGCUUCUAAUGAUGAGCCUGAGGCACCGGGGCGCCUUCUGAAUCAUCAGAGCCAGAUGAAAUUGUGUGUUAUUGAGACGUGCUGUUCCCAUCUUUGCAAAGAGGCCAUGGAUGCAUGCAAUGAAAGCUUUUGCUGAGCCGAAUACGCUGUUAGCACGACCGUCUCCCCACUGACGUAUUGCACCAGACAAACACCAGACGUCAAGGUCAUUGGGAAAGCACCAACAUAUUCAGCCAGGCAGUGUGGGGAUGCACCCCCAGUCCCGAGAUGAAAACCUCCAGCCAGCCCAGCGCUUCCCAGCAGGGAGCACAGAACACCAUGAAGCCUCAAGAUGUUGCUUUCCUAAAACAGACCAGCGUGGUUCAUGGAUUUGGGGCUCUAAGUGCCCCCCAUUUCCCUUCUCCUAGACCUCGUCCCCAGCAUCGCGACGCUAUUGGGGCUGGAGCACCCAGCUGGGAGGUUAAACUUUCCUAACCUGGGCUCAACCUUGGUUUCGUCUCUCAGUCUUAAUUUUGCUUCAGCCUGGUCUGUCUUGCUGGUUUAUGCUGUCAUCUAACACAGGGCCAGCAAUGAAGAUGCUUAGUAAAAGCUGUUGAAAGGAUAAAUUUAAAGGUUUUAAUUGUUUUAUUUUACUAUUUUAUUUAUUUUUUUCAUUUCUUGAAUAUAUAACAUGCACUGGCAUGCCCCUCUAU